Molecule: long non-coding RNA, 449 nt
Filed under: Homo sapiens (human)
Lineage: Eukaryota; Metazoa; Chordata; Mammalia; Primates; Hominidae
Description: HSALNT0029391
Source: RNAcentral
UGAGUGACCAUCCAAGGAAUAUGUCCUCGCGCGCGGCCGCCGUUUUCCUUUUCGGAAUGUGGGUAAAGAAUUUACCGCUAACAGACGACCUCCAGGUUCGCUCUUGGACAGCAAGAUUGAGAGACAAAACUUAACAAAGCGCUGUGCAAACUGAAAUCCCAGGCUUAGCUCGCUUGUGUCUUGAACACGGAAGUCACCUAGUCACCCACAAGAUGUAUGAGUACAGCUAACCCCCAGAUGCAUUUGACAGACGGCGUGGGACGCGCCACUUGCUGAUUGGCUCUCCUUUCCCAGUUGACCGCGACAUCCCCCAGCCCCAACUCCCUUUUGAUGGGGCUGUGACCACCUGCCGGUCCCCUCACCCACCCCUCACGCCCGGAGAGUCCGAGGUUGAUUCGAGUACUCACUAUGUGCUUAUGUAACACAUGUUUUCAUUAUUAAAAUAUAAC